This 434-nucleotide ribosomal RNA is filed under the name Kocuria sp. RNAcentral describes it as "bacterial SSU rRNA". It matches the Rfam family "Bacterial small subunit ribosomal RNA", at positions 67 to 512 of the family's 1533-position model. Lineage: Bacteria; Bacillati; Actinomycetota; Actinomycetes; Micrococcales; Micrococcaceae. The record is from RNAcentral.
CGAUGAUGCCCAGCUUGCUGGGCGGAUUAGUGGCGAACGGGUGAGUAAUACGUGAGUAACCUGCCCUUGACUCUGGGAUAAGCCUGGGAAACUGGGUCUAAUACUGGAUACUACCUCUUACCGCAUGGUGGGUGGUGGAAAGGGUUUUACUGGUUUUGGAUGGGCUCACGGCCUAUCAGCUUGUUGGUGGGGUAAUGGCUCACCAAGGCGACGACGGGUAGCCGGCCUGAGAGGGUGACCGGCCACACUGGGACUGAGACACGGCCCAGACUCCUACGGGAGGCAGCAGUGGGGAAUAUUGCACAAUGGGCGGAAGCCUGAUGCAGCGACGCCGCGUGAGGGAUGACGGCCUUCGGGUUGUAAACCUCUUUCAGUAGGGAAGAAGCGAGAGUGACGGUACCUGCAGAAGAAGCGCCGGCUAACUACGUGCCAGC